AUCAAAGAUGCUGGGAGCACAAAAACCUAAAGACUGUUGGAGAACUUUGGUUUACUAAUUUAAGGAAGAAAUGCGCUACAAUGCCCACAGUUUAAUGGAGAGGGUGUUACGGGCAAAUGCAAAUAUUACAAGUUUUAGAAUGAAAUGUUGUAUUUCUUAAACUGUGUACUUUGUCUUUAAGAGAUAUUGCAAACUGACAAGGUGUUAGAAAUGGAACAUAUUGUUUUUCAUAACUGUUUCUUUAAGCAAUAACCUCAGUGCAUGAUAUGUUUGCGCCAUUUUGUCCCAGACGAAUUACAAUAACAAUAAUGCAUAAACAAGCUUCAAGGCUAUGCUACGACUCUUGCAG
Pelobates cultripes (western spadefoot toad) is the source of this 349-nucleotide non-coding RNA. The record is from the annotation of a GenBank genome assembly. NCBI's taxonomy places the organism in Eukaryota, Metazoa, Chordata, Amphibia, Anura, Pelobatidae.